GUGCUCACUUUGGCAAGCACUUAUACUAAAAUUGGAAGAUACAGGGAAAAUUAGCAUGGCCCCUGUGCAAGGAUGACAUGCAAAUUCAGGAAGCACUCUAUAUUUUU
This 107-nucleotide small nuclear RNA is filed under the name Salvator merianae (Argentine black and white tegu). Lineage: Eukaryota; Metazoa; Chordata; Lepidosauria; Squamata; Teiidae. The record is from RNAcentral.